AAAUUGAAGAGUUUGAUCAUGGCUCAGAUUGAACGCUGGCGGCAGGCCUAACACAUGCAAGUCGAACGGUAACAGGAAGCAGCUUGCUGCUUUGCUGACGAGUGGCGGACGGGUGAGUAAUGUCUGGGAAACUGCCUGAUGGAGGGGGAUAACUACUGGAAACGGUGGCUAAUACCGCAUAACGUCGCAAGACCAAAGAGGGGGACCUUCGGGCCUCUUGCCAUCAGAUGUGCCCAGAUGGGAUUAGCUAGUUGGUGAGGUAACGGCUCACCAAGGCGACGAUCCCUAGCUGGUCUGAGAGGAUGACCAGCCACACUGGAACUGAGACACGGUCCAGACUCCUACGGGAGGCAGCAGUGGGGAAUAUUGCACAAUGGGCGCAAGCCUGAUGCAGCCAUGCCGCG
Molecule: ribosomal RNA, 404 nt
Filed under: Salmonella enterica subsp. enterica serovar Ohio str. CFSAN001079
Lineage: Bacteria; Pseudomonadati; Pseudomonadota; Gammaproteobacteria; Enterobacterales; Enterobacteriaceae
Description: bacterial SSU rRNA
Rfam family: Bacterial small subunit ribosomal RNA
Source: RNAcentral